GACAGAGGAGCCAAGCGUUGUCCGGAUUGACUGGGCGUAAAGCGCACGCAGGCGGCUGUGCACGUGGGGUGUGAAAGCUGGCGGCUUAACUGCCAGACGCCACCUCAUACGGCACGGCUCGAGCCCGUGAGAGGUCCACGGAAUUGCCGGUGUAGUGGUGAAAUGCGUAGAGAUCGGCAGGAACACCCAGGGGGAAACCAGCCGACUGGGCAUAGGCUGACGCUGAGGUGCGAGAGCGUGGGGAGCGAACCGG
This 253-nucleotide ribosomal RNA is filed under the name uncultured bacterium. Its description in RNAcentral is "partial 16S ribosomal RNA". It matches the Rfam family "Bacterial small subunit ribosomal RNA", at positions 524 to 776 of the family's 1533-position model. The record is from RNAcentral.